AACAAACGCUGGCGGCGUGCCUAAUACAUGCAAGUCGAACGAGGAAAGCUUUCGGGUGAGUACUAGUGGCGCACGGGUGAGGAAUAUAUGGGUAAUCUGCCCUCGAGUUGGGGAUAACCAGUCGAAAGACUGGCUAAUACCGAAUAAGACCACAGGAUCUGCGGAUCUGGGGGUUAAAGGUUUUUCGCUUGAGGAUGAGCCCAUACGGGAUUAGCUAGUUGGCGAGGUAAUGGCUCACCAAGGCUACGAUCCCUAACUGGUCUUAGAGGAUGAUCAGUCACACUGGAACUGAGACACGGUCCAGACUCCUACGGGAGGCAGCAGUAGGGAAUAUUGCACAAUGGGGGAAACCCUGAUGCAGCGACGCCGCGUGAGUGAUGAAGGCCUUCGGGUCGUAAAGCUCUGUCGUAUGGGACUAACACAAUGAAGGUACCAUGCAAGAAAGGAUCGGCUAACUUCGUGCCAGCAGCCGCGGUAA
Molecule: ribosomal RNA, 478 nt
Filed under: uncultured bacterium
Lineage: Bacteria
Description: partial 16S ribosomal RNA
Rfam family: Bacterial small subunit ribosomal RNA
Source: RNAcentral